CUGCACAGUGCUUGAGACUUGCUUGCGUGAUCCAAUAGGAUGGUGGGACUACCAAGUUUCCUUUAUUUGAACAAGUAUUGGAACUUUUCACCAAAGUAGGAUUAAGUUUUACUCACGUUAGAAGAG
This is a long non-coding RNA of Empidonax traillii (willow flycatcher), 126 nucleotides long. RefSeq lists it as uncharacterized. NCBI's taxonomy places the organism in Eukaryota, Metazoa, Chordata, Aves, Passeriformes, Tyrannidae. The transcript is spliced from 3 exons. The record is from RefSeq and is a predicted model, not a curated record.